This is an RNA transcript of Cercocebus atys (sooty mangabey), 3296 nucleotides long. It is a transcript of the gene named spermatogenesis and centriole associated 1-like, with no coding region annotated. NCBI's taxonomy places the organism in Eukaryota, Metazoa, Chordata, Mammalia, Primates, Cercopithecidae. The record is from RefSeq and is a predicted model, not a curated record. The transcript is spliced from 8 exons.
AAAAAAAAAAAAAAGGAACACCCAGAACAUGGCAUGGAACCCCUGCGGCUGAUUUUAAAAGGCCAGUGUUCCAAAGCCAGACCAAGACAUCACAAGAAAAGGAGAUUCAGAUCGAUUUCCCCUGUGAGCAUAAAAAUACUUAAGAUAUUAAUAAAUUGAAUCCAGUGCUAUAUUAAAAGGUUAAUGUGUCAAGAUCAGAAAACUGUCAGAGUGUUGAUAGGUCCGUGGCUGGAGAGUACGUGAUGUCAGAAGGCUUCCUUGGAGCGGGAAGAAGACGGCAUUUAAAAUAUGAUGGGAGGAGCCAGGGCAGGAAAAGCCAUUCAGGGCCCCGUCGGGCUCAGAGUGGGGGGCGCAUCUGUGACUCACCCCUGACUUCUCUCUCUGCCCUGCAUCCUGGACGUGCAGGGGCAUGCCCUCGUCAGUGGGCUGUGUCUGGGCCCCCAUUGUCUUGAUCUGAGGUGUGAGCCCUGUGGUGCAGCCAGGCAGGCUGGGUUGUGUGAGGAACGCUUGGAGUAUAAGCAACCUCCAUUCUCCACAAAGCCUGACUCGAGACUCUCUCCUGGAAGCAACGUUCCCCUAAUGUGGCCGCCUGGGCUGAAUGAAGGUGGUGUUCUCCUUGGGGGCGUCUGCACGUGAGUGCCCUUGGUGGUCCUGAGUGCCCGUCACAGGGCUGGAGGUGUGGCUGGCCCACUGGGUUGUUGGUGGUCCUAAGUGCCCAUCACAGGGCUGGAGGUGUGGCCGGCCCACUGGGUUGGUGGUGGUGGGUGCCUGUCACAGGGCUGGAGGUGUGGCCGGCCCACGCGGGUUGCUGGUGGUCGGGUGCCCGAUCACAGGGCUGGAGGUGUGGCCGGCCCAGUGGGUUGGUGGUGGUGGGUGCCUGUCACAGGGCUGGAGGUGUGGCCGGCCCACUGGGUUGGUGGUGGUGGGUGCCCGUCACAGGGCUGGAGGUGUGGCCGGCCCAGUGGGUUGUGUUUUCUGGACUACAUCCCUUCCCACGAGGAUGAGAUGACCCUUCUGUUGCAUCCUGGCUGCUGAUAAAACAAGACCCUCGGAGCCAAGAAACAACACUGAGGAUGGGCCCUGAUGAACACCUGCACACCAGAUGCUGCCCUGGGUGCCGGGGCCCACAGGAAACUGCACUGGGAUCCCUGUGUCCUGGGCAGGUCCUGUGGGAAGUGCAGCCCACGUGUUACUCAGGUGAAGGCAGCAUCCCCACCCAGCCUGAGGACUCCACACAGGGUGGACGCCCGACCCUGGCUGGGCCGCUCACGGGGGAGAGGCUUGGACGCCCCUUUGGAGUGCAGUCCCACAUUCCGUACCUGCCUCAUGUCCUUGGCAUUCUUGGGCCCCAGUCGUGGUGUGGGAGUGGCUGCCUGUGCACACCACGGGCCUCCAGCUGCACGGCCUCAACGGGGCCACGAGCCAUCGCCGGGUCAGGCGGGGGUGCCGGGCACCUCAUCACUAGGGCAGUGACAUCACAAGGCGCAGAAGGCAGCGGUGGCUACGGAACCCCAUGCCCGGGCUGUUUCUGUGGUGCCUGCGGGCUCUGGGCUCCCACCUCCAUGGGGCUGCAGGAGCCGUGAGGGACGAGGAGGGACGCGCCCGCCAUGGCUGAGGGCGGCGAGCUGAUGAGCCGGCUUCUGAGCGAGAACGCAGACCUGAAGAAGCAGGUGCGCCUCCUGAAGGAGAAUCAGAUGCUGCGGCGGCUGCUCAGCCAGAGCUGCCAGGAGGGCAGUGGCCACGACCUGCUCCCACCCAGGGCCCCCGCCUACCCUGAGGCCGGCUCCCCCGGGAGUGGAGUUCCGGAUUUCGGAAGGUUCACGAGUGUUGCCGACACGCCCUCCCAGCUGCAGACAUCCUCCCUGGAGGACCUGCUGUGCUCACAUGCCCCCCUGUCCAGCGAGGACGACACCUCCCCGGGCUGCGCAGCCCCCUCCCAGUCACCCUUCAAGGCCUUCCUCAGUCCCCCGGAGCUGCACAGCCACCGAGGCACCGACAGGAAGCUGUCCCCGCUCCUGAGCCCCUUGCAAGACUCCCUGGUGGACAAGACGUUGCUGGAGCCCAGGGAGAUGGUCCGGCCUAAGAAGGUGUGCUUCUCGGAGAGCAGCCUGCCCAGCGGGGACAGGACCAGGAGGAGCUACUACCUCAAUGAGAUCCAGAGCUUCGCGGGCGCCGAGAAGGACGCGCGCGUGGUGGGCGAGAUCGCCUUCCAGCUGGACCGCCGCAUCCUGGCCUACGUGUUUCCGGGCGUGACGCGGCUCUACGGCUUCACGGUGGCCAACAUCCCCGAGAAGAUCAAGCAGACCUCCAUCAAGUCCCUGGACGGCUCCGUGGACGAGAAGAAGCUGCGCGAGCUGACGCAGCGCUACCUGGCCCUGAGCGCGCGCCUGGAGAAGCUGGGCUACAGCCGCGACGUGCACCCGGCGUUCAGCGAGUUCCUCAUCAACACCUACGGAAUCCUGAAGCAGCGGCCGGACCUGCGCGCCAACCCCCUGCACAGCAGCCCGGCCGCGCUGCGCAAGCUGGUCAUCGACGUGGUGCCCCCCAAGUUCCUGGGCGACUCGCUGCUGCUGCUCAACUGCCUGUGCGAGCUCUCCAAGGAGGACAGCAAGCCGCUCUUCGCCUGUUGGGUGUGGUGGGAUACAGACACAGGAACCCUGACUUGAAAGGAGAGUGUCACAAAGUACUGCAGACCCAGCAGCUUAAACCACAGGAGGGCACGUGCCAUGCCACACAGGGCCACCGGGGGGCGCUGUGGCAACAGGACCCGGAAGGAAUUAGCCAGCCCUGGGAGGGCAUCUCCACCCAGCCAGCAAGGCCCCGGAGAGGUCGAAGCAUCAUAAACCAGAAAACAAAAAGCACGCGAUUUGCUGGGCUGGAGGACAGGGCCAGGUCUUGGCCUUGGCACCGUCCUGGGUCACGAGUGGAUGGUUCCGGUCACUCCGCUGUGGUGUGAGGAUGAAGGUGUCAGCCCAGUGUGGGCAACCCUCGCAGCCAGCAUGUUCCGAUGCCGCUCACCUGUAGGUGUGUGCCGCUGCCGUCACAAAGUACUGCGGACCCAGCAGCUUAAACCACAGAAAUUUAUUCUGUCGAAGUCCUGAGGCCCAGAGUACAAGAUGAAAGCAUCCGCAGGUUCUGUUUGUCUGAGGCCUCCCUGCUAGGUGCAGGCGGCCGCCUCCCUGCUUGGUCCUCCUGGCCCUUUCUCUGAGUGCAUCCCUGGUGCCUCUCCCUCUUCUCACCACCCUGUCCAUCUCCACAUCCAAUCCAGUCUGCCACCUGGGGUCAGGACUUCACAG